This 464-nucleotide ribosomal RNA is filed under the name uncultured bacterium. Its description in RNAcentral is "partial 16S ribosomal RNA". It matches the Rfam family "Bacterial small subunit ribosomal RNA", at positions 339 to 795 of the family's 1533-position model. The record is from RNAcentral.
CUACGGGGCGCUCCAGUGGGGAAUAUUGCACAAUGGGUGCAAGCCUGAUGCAGCCAUGCCGCGUGUAUGAAGAAGGCCUUCGGGUUGUAAAGUACUUUCAGCGGGGAGGAAGGGAGUAAAGUUAAUACCUUUGCUCAUUGACGUUACCCGCAGAAGAAGCACCGGCUAGCUCCGUGCCAGCAGCCGCGGUAAUACGGAGGGUGCAAGCGUUAAUCGGAAUUACUGGGCGUAAAGCGCACGCAGGCGGUUUGUUAAGUCAGAUGUGAAAUCCCCGGGCUCAACCUGGGAACUGCAUCUGAUACUGGCAAGCUUGAGUCUCGUAGAGGGGGGUAGAAUUCCAGGUGUAGCGGUGAAAUGCGUAGAGAUCUGGAGGAAUACCGGUGGCGAAGGCGGCCCCCUGGACGAAGACUGACGCUCAGGUGCGAAAGCGUGGGGAGCAAACAGGAUUAGAUACCCUAGUAGUC